This 69-nucleotide transfer RNA is filed under the name Sepiella maindroni. Its description in RNAcentral is "tRNA-Leu". Lineage: Eukaryota; Metazoa; Mollusca; Cephalopoda; Sepiida; Sepiidae. The record is from RNAcentral. RNAcentral also lists the same sequence under 2 other names.
AUAAAGUUGGCAGAUAUAUGUGAAUAAUUUAGGGUUAUUUUAUAAGAUUAAUAUAAAUCUUACUUUAUA